GAGGAACGCUGGCGGCGGGCUUAACACAUGCAAGUCGAACGGUAAGGCCCUUCGGGGUACACGAGUGGCGAAGGGGGGAGUAACACGUGGGUGAUCUGCCCUGCACUUCGGGAUAAGCCUGGGAAACUGGGUCUAAUACCGGAUAGGACCACUGCCUGCAUGGGUGGUGGUGGAAAGCUUUUGCGGCGUGGGAUGGGCCCGCGGCCUAUCAGCUUGUUGGUGGGGUGAUGGCCUAACAAGGCGACGACGGGUAGCCGGCCUGAGAGGGUGACCGGCCACACUGGGACUGAGAUACGGCCCAGGCUCCUCCGGGAGGCAGCAGUGGGGAAUAUUGCACAAUGGGCGCUAGCCUGAUGCAGCGACGCCGCGUGAGGGAUGACGGCCUUCGGGUUGUAAGCCUCUUUCAGCACCGACGAAGCGCAAGUGACGGUAGGUGCAGAAGAAGGACCGGCCAACUACGCGCCAGCAGCCGCCGUAA
RNAcentral lists this ribosomal RNA (478 nucleotides) under uncultured bacterium. Its description in RNAcentral is "partial 16S ribosomal RNA". It matches the Rfam family "Bacterial small subunit ribosomal RNA", at positions 31 to 523 of the family's 1533-position model. The record is from RNAcentral.